GGGCUGUUAGCUCAGAGGAUUUAGAGCACGUGGCUACGAACCACGGUUGUCGUGGGGUUCGAAUCCCUCCUCGCCCA
This 77-nucleotide transfer RNA is filed under the name Hordeum vulgare. RNAcentral describes it as "tRNA-Arg". It matches the Rfam family "tRNA". Rfam says of the family: Transfer RNA (tRNA) molecules are approximately 80 nucleotides in length. The record is from RNAcentral. Lineage: Eukaryota; Viridiplantae; Streptophyta; Magnoliopsida; Poales; Poaceae.